GGAGUAUCGACCCUCUCUGUGCCGAAGCUAACGCUUUAAGUACCCCGCCUGGGGAGUACGGUCGCAAGACUAAAACUCAAAGGAAUUGACGGGGGCCCGCACAAGCAGCGGAGCGUGUGGUUUAAUUCGAUGCUACACGAAGAACCUCACCAGGGCUUGACAUGUCGGAAGUAGUGAACUGAAAGGGAAACG
Molecule: ribosomal RNA, 192 nt
Filed under: uncultured bacterium
Lineage: Bacteria
Description: partial 16S rRNA
Rfam family: Bacterial small subunit ribosomal RNA
Source: RNAcentral